This 325-nucleotide ribosomal RNA is filed under the name uncultured eukaryote. RNAcentral describes it as "partial 18S ribosomal RNA". It matches the Rfam family "Eukaryotic small subunit ribosomal RNA", at positions 1470 to 1796 of the family's 1831-position model. The record is from RNAcentral.
CCCUUAGACGUUCUGGGCCGCACGCGCGCUACACUGACGAAGGCAACGAGCUUUCCUUUACCGAAAGGUACGGGUAAUCUUUUGAAACUUCGUCGUGCUGGGGAUAGAUCCUUGCAAUUAUUGAUCUUAAACGAGGAAUUCCUAGUAAGCGCAAGUCAUCAACUUGCGUCGAUUACGUCCCUGCCCUUUGUACACACCGCCCGUCGCUCCUACCGAUUGGGUGUGCUGGUGAAAUGUUCGGAUCGGCCGUUUGUCGCGGUUUCCGCGGCUCGUGGCUGAGAAGUUCAUUAAACCCUCCCACCUAGAGGAAGGAGAAGUCGUAACA